UGCUGCGUGCGGGGGCCUUUGUAUGGGGUCCUUUGUGAGCUGGGUUAUGAACCAGGUGAAGGUCGUGCAGGCGUCAGAGAAUCGAGGCCAGACAUGACGGGUGGAGGCUUGGUGGAGGUGAGGAGCCAGACAGCCUCGCUAAAUGUGCGGUGGCUCACUGCAGACAGCGUCCAUCAGUCGCUAGACAGGCUUGAUCUUCAGCCCCUACGACAGCUGCCUUUAUCCUGUCUGCCUCCACCUUCUGAGGCCUAUAGGCAUCUCAAAUGUGUGUUUCUUAAACAGAUUUGGAUGAGUUGCUUUCUGCACAACACACCUGGACAGACGGAGGCUGGUUCUCCACAAUGGCACCAGGGACUUGGCGGAGACUGGCGGGACAGAGGCACAGCACCAGCUCCCUGGGAGAAGGCAGUGCCUGUGGGAUGGAGGAAAGAAGAGGCACACAGUGCUGAGACACCCGGAUGUUCUGAGUGGAAACCGCACUGCUGUGGACUUUGUGAGUGGUGAGCCGUGCACAGAUAUGUGCUGUGUUUGCUGUGUCCGCUGACGCAAGCCCUGGUCAGUCCUGUUUCAGGUGGAUGUUUUCCCUUGUAGUUCCCUUCUCUUGUUCUGUUUGUAAGUUCAGUAAACUCGGGACCAAUGGUGAGAGGUAGAGGAGCACGGUGUCGGCAAUU
Molecule: long non-coding RNA, 671 nt
Filed under: Macaca fascicularis (crab-eating macaque)
Lineage: Eukaryota; Metazoa; Chordata; Mammalia; Primates; Cercopithecidae
Description: lncRNA (ENSMFAG00000064136.1)
Source: RNAcentral